Molecule: ribosomal RNA, 493 nt
Filed under: uncultured bacterium
Lineage: Bacteria
Description: partial 16S ribosomal RNA
Rfam family: Bacterial small subunit ribosomal RNA
Source: RNAcentral
ACGAACGCUGGCGGCGCGCUUAACACAUGCAAGUCGAACGGAAAGGCCUGCUUUCCCUUGUGGAUUGCGGGUACUCGAGUGGCGAACGGGUGAGUAACACGUGAGUGAUCUGCCCCCAACUUGGGUAUAAGCCUGGGAAACUGGGUCUAAUUCCCGAUAGGACUGCAGGGUGGUGCCUGUGGUGGAAAACGAUUUUCUAGUGGUUGGGGAUGAGCUCGCGGCCUAUCCGCUUGUUGGUGGGGUAAUGGCCUACCAAGGCGGCGACGGGUAGCCGGCCUGAGAGGGUGGACGGCCACAUUGGGACUGAGAUACGGCCCAGACUCCUACGGGAGGCAGCAGUGGGGAAUAUUGCACAAUGGGCGGAAGCCUGAUGCAGCGACGCCGCGUGGGGGAUGACGGCCUUCGGGUUGUAAACUCCUUUCGACCGCGAGGAAGCCACCUGGUUGGAAGGGUGGUGACGGUAGUGGUAAAAGAAGCACCGGCUAACUACGUG